UACGGUGGGGGCAAGCGUUGUUCGGAAUUACUGGGCGUAAAGGGCUCGUAGGUGGCCAACUAAGUCGGACGUGAAAUCCCUCAGCUUAACUGGGGAACUGCGUCCGAUACUGGAUGGCUUGAGUUCGGGAGAGGGAUGCGGAAUUCCGGGUGUAGUGGUGGAAUGCGUAGAGAUCCGGAGGAACACCAGCGGCGAAGGCGGCAUCCUGGACUGGUCCUGACACUCAGGAGCGAAAGCGUGGGGAGCGAUCCGG
Molecule: ribosomal RNA, 253 nt
Filed under: uncultured bacterium
Lineage: Bacteria
Description: partial 16S ribosomal RNA
Rfam family: Bacterial small subunit ribosomal RNA
Source: RNAcentral